AUUGAACGCUGGCGGCAGGCUUAACACAUGCAAGUCGAGCGGGCGAGGUUGCUUCGGUAACUGAGCUAGCGGCGGACGGGUGAGUAAUGCUUAGGAAUCUGCCUAUUAGUGGGGGACAACAUUCCGAAAGGGAUGCUAAUACCGCAUACGUCCUACGGGAGAAAGCAGGGGCUCUUUGUGACCUUGCGCUAAUAGAUGAGCCUAAGUCGGAUCAGCUAGUUGGUGGGGUAAAGGCCUACCAAGGCGACGAUCCGUAGCGGGUCUGAGAGGAUGAUCCGCCACACUGGGACUGAGACACGGCCCAGACUCCUACGGGAGGCAGCAGUGGGGAAUAUUGGACAAUGGGGGGAACCCUGAUCCAGCCAUGCCGCGUGUGUGAAGAAGGCCUUUUGGUUGUAAAGCACUUUAAGUGGGGAGGAGGCUUACCUGGUUAAUACCUGGGCUAAGUGGACGUUACCCACAGAAUAAGCACCGGCUAACUCUGUGCCAGCAGCCGCCGUAA
Molecule: ribosomal RNA, 502 nt
Filed under: uncultured bacterium
Lineage: Bacteria
Description: partial 16S ribosomal RNA
Rfam family: Bacterial small subunit ribosomal RNA
Source: RNAcentral